RNAcentral lists this ribosomal RNA (506 nucleotides) under uncultured bacterium. Its description in RNAcentral is "partial 16S ribosomal RNA". It matches the Rfam family "Bacterial small subunit ribosomal RNA", at positions 29 to 523 of the family's 1533-position model. The record is from RNAcentral.
AGUGAACGCUGGCGGUAGGCCUAACACAUGCAUGUCGAACGGCAGCACAGAGGAGCUUGCUCCUUGGGUGGCGAGUGGCGGACGGGUGAGGAAUACAUCGGAAUCUACUCUGUCGUGGGGGAUAACGUAGGGAAACUUACGCUAAUACCGCAUACGACCUACGGGUGAAAGCAGGGGAACUUCGGGCCUUGCGCGAUUGAAUGAGCCGAUGUCGGAUUAGCUAGUUGGCGGGGUAAAGGCCACCCAGGGCGACGAUCCGUAGCUGGUCUGAGAGGAUGAUCAGCCACACUGGAACUGAGACACGGUCCAGACUCCUACGGGAGGAAGCAGUGGGGAAUAUUGGACAAUGGGCGCAAGCCUGAUCCAGCCAUACCGCGUGGGUGAAGAAGGCCUUCGGGUUGUAAAGCCCUUUUGUUGGGAAAGAAAUCCAGCUGGCUAAUACCCGGUUGGGAUGACGGUACCCAAAGAAUAAGCACCGGCUAACUUCGUGCCAGCCGCCGCAGUAA